GAAAGUCACCUUCGGGUGGCGAGUAGAGUGGCAGACGGGUGAGUAACGCGUGGGUGACCAACCUUUGAGUGGGGGACAACCUUCCGAAAGGAGGGCUAAUACCGCAUAACAUCCUGUUCUUAGAUGGACGGUGAUCAAAGCUGGCCAAGCUUCGGUUUGGCUGGCGCUUGUUGACGGACCCGCGUCCGAUUAGCUUGUUGGUGGGGUAAUGGCUCACCAAGGCUGCGAUCGGUAGCCGGCCUGAGAGGGCGGACGGCCACACUGGGACUGAGACACGGCCCAGACUCCUACGGGAGGCAGCAGUAGGGAAUUGUUCGCAAUGGGCGAAAGCCUGACGACGCAACGCCGCGUGGAGGACGAAGGCCUUCGGGUUGUAAACUCCUGUCGGGGGGGAAGAACGGCCUGCGGGUUAAUACCCCGUGGGCGUGACGGUACCCCCUAGAGGAAGCCCCCGGCUAACUCCCGUGCCAGCAGCCGCGGGUAAACACGGAGGGGGGCGAGCGUUUGUUCGGAUUUUACUGGGCGUAAAGGGCUUGUAGGCGGCUGUCUAUGUCGGUUGUGAAAUCCCCAGGCUCAACCUGGGAACUGCAGCCGAAACUGGAUGGCUAGAAGCCGGGAGAGGGAUGCGGAAUUCCAGGUGUAGCGGUGAAAUGCGUAGAUAUCUGGAGGAACACCCGUGGCGAAGGCGGCAUCCUGGACCGGUCUUGACGCUGAGGAGCGAAAGCUAGGGUAGCAAACGGGAUUAGAUACCCCGGUAGUCCUAGCCCUAAACGAUGAAUGCUUGGUGUGGCGGGUAUCGAUCCCUGCCGUGCCGGAGUUAACGCGUUAAGCA
This 832-nucleotide ribosomal RNA is filed under the name uncultured bacterium. RNAcentral describes it as "bacterial SSU rRNA". It matches the Rfam family "Bacterial small subunit ribosomal RNA", at positions 69 to 866 of the family's 1533-position model. The record is from RNAcentral.